UCACAGUGGGAGGAGGCUGGGUGCGGCCCGCACGCCCCCUCCCUUUCCCGUUUCCCUGAGGCCGGGACCUUCAGUCUUUGACGAGGUGCCCUUUCUUCCCACAGCCCCAGCAACGCCCUCUCGCACGCACUUGGAGCGGGGGCACUGCGGGGGAUGGCUGUGCUGGCUGGGGACAGCUCACUGCGAUGUGGCCUGCUUGGCCAGGUUUGAAGCACGCCAUUGCACUGGUUAAGGUGCGAACGGCUGCCUGGAUGGUGUCAGUUGCUCCUCUUUUACUACAUGUUUAAUCAUGUCGGCCAGGCUGGCUCCGGCCGGCAAGGAGUGCAGAAUGUCUUUGGUAACUGAGUUGCAUUGUUGCCGCAGGCAAUCAGCCACCACAGGGCCCCUUGAUUCUGCAGGCAGAGUGGACGAAUCUACUGCUGCCUGGAGGCGAUCCACAAACUGUGUGAAGCUUUCACUCUCUGCCUGUUUUAUGCUGGACCAUGGGGAUGGCCUGGCCACCACUAGGGAUGUGGCACGAAUGGCCUUUCUGGCGGCCUGGGUGGUGGCCCUGACUUCCUCAACGCACAGGUGCGCAGCUUGUUGCUGAGGGGUUAUCAUCUCGUCAUGUUUGCCCAUCAACCUGGACAAGCUGGAGCCAUGCAAUGGCUGUUCUGCCCCAGAAGCCUGAUCCAGUAAGUUUGCGCAAUUAUCUUUCCAUUCCUGUUUGAAAACAAUCAUUCCCUCGCCGUCAAAAAUCGUGCGACCUAUUUGUUUAAUAUCAAAGGGUAGCAAAUCAUGAUUGCCAAAAAGGCCCUCCACGAGUGUGGAGACCAUGGCUGAAUUAAUCCCAUUCUCUGAAAUUGCUUUAACAAUUGCCUGUACAUCUUUAGGGUUUACCGGCGUAUAUGUUCUCUGCUGGUUCCCUUCUGGCCCGGUAACUCUCACAGGGAAGGCUCGCACUGUGGUGGCCGCAGGAGCCCACUCAGCACAAGCUAUCUUUAUCUUUCCCCAGUCAGUGAACUGGGCUGGCUCGUAUUGUGAACCCUUUUCGGAGUGGCUCAGAGCUUUUUUCGUUUUCGUUUCCGCAUCCUAGCCAGCUUCCAUCAGCUCUCCCGAACUGCUGGAGCUGGUGGUGUCUGACUGAGAAUCGGAAGUAAACUGAUAGCUCACUUCUGGGCCAUUUUGUGCGGCUCUGACCCUGCCCCUCCCUUCAGGGGUGGCACCACUCCCGCCCCCUGGGCUUGCCCUGCCUCCUGUGGGGGGUGGUCUCUCCCUUAAACAGAAGCAGCACUGAGCGCGGCUCCCGAUUGGGCACGCGCUCUCUGCUGUCCUCCCAUGCACGCGUGUUAGCGAAAGCCCGCAACUCUGGACUGAGCGCGAGCUCUCUGCCGCUCUCCCGCGCAUACACGCUUGCGGAAAUCCGCGGUUCCUGUCCGAGUGUGUGCUCUUCUCCCUCUUCCCCGUCUUUUUCCCGCACGUGCGCAUCAGCAAACACCCGCCGCUCCGGGCUCUCCCUGCUGAGGAUAUCCAGGCUCCGCCCCUCCCUUCGGCCAGCGCCAUUUUCAAACACGUAUGGCGGGGGUGCUACCUGUGUCUCCUCCCGUGCCACGUUUUGGCGUCUCUGGCUUCACCCCUCAGUUCCUCCCAAAAAACCCACGCGCGCUGCUGCGCCUCGGGCACCGAAACACUGGCUGGCGGCAAAGAGACAAAUGGGGAACCCGCGGAUUUUCGGGAAGGUUCCGCGGGCGAGGAGGGCAACGACAGGUUUGGCGGAAGGGUCGGGGGGUUUUCAGGGGCCAUCGGGGGGUUCGGGCUUGGGCUCAGUGAGCGGGGAAGCGUGCCUGGCUCUCGCGGAUCCCCACCCUCGGACAAAUUGCGUUCAAAUGCUGUUUGCGUUGUGGCUCCUAUCCCCAGCUUGGGGGUAGCUAGCAAACACACGCAUGCGGCGCUCCAGAACUCCUGUUCCUCAAGCGCCUUGCGUAGGGCUCGCUCGACCUUUCCCCACGCUUUGAGACUUUUGCCGCUGCCUGAGGAUUUUGUAUCCUCGGCUAGCACGACCGUGCAUCUCCCCCACACCUCCAAAUGUAAUAUUUCUACUGGGUGUUCAGUCACCCCAAUCUCUAAUAAUCUUGCGAUAGCAAGGUGAAAAUCCCUGAGCUUGCACUUAAUUCCCCACUGUUUAUGAAUCAAACUUAUGACCUUCACCAUGGUGUCCAUUGGCUGGUCCGACGGCGUCCCGUCCGCCAGAGUAGGUUUCUUUUCCCACCCUGGCCGCUGCUUCUGUCCAGGCAAAAACCCCGAUUUCCAAGGGUUUUUUUCCUCAUGGGUUUCAGCACCAGAAUGUUGCCUUCUGAUAUGAAGGCAGGCGACCUGGGUUCCAGAAAGCGGCACGGCAACCCGGCCUCUCCCGGGUUACUCGGUCCACAGACACACUGGCAUCGAUAGGAUGGAUGGUCAAAAUGGCGUUUAUUGCUUUACCUCAUGGUGUUAAAUAGUCAAAGGGGGCUUUACUACGUCAGAGAGGGGCGGAGGGUCCUUAUCUUUCUGUGACAUCCGCGAUCUUCCGGGCGCCUGUCCUUAUCUAUCGCACACACAGGGUGGGAGGGAGGGGUUCCAACACGUGGCUAGAUUCAAAGCCUGCCUCAGCUUCCGUAAUGUCCAUGUCCACCAAAACACUGUCCUCAGUCUCUGCGUCUGAUUCUGGAUCACCCUGGGAGGUUUUCUAGUCAGUGGAAUUUUCAGAGCUGGACCAUGCUCCAUAACUGUGGAGGACCGUAACGAACUUCUUCCAAGAUAUAAUCAAAUUUGACACUCCUUCAUCUCCUGCAUACAAAGUCUCAACCAAAGUGUCUCCUAGUAAUUGCCAUUUCCUCUUGGAAAAUGCUUUCUCAGCAUUUCUUGGGUUGGUUUUCCCGAGAUAUAUUGAUUAGGAGUCUUUUUUCCUUGAAAGCCCGUGCUAGAAGCAGAAGGAAGAGUGGGAGUUUGCCAGUUCAGGUUUCUCAGAGUUGUUUAUUAUUUCUUACCUCUAAGUUCUUUCAGCGCCCAGCAAAGGUCUUUGCUGUGGCAAGAGCACGUGGUGACUCCCCCAGGUCGGGAGGGCUCGGAUCUUUUGUACUUUUUCCCUGACCCAACCACUGUCCACAAUGUAUUAUUUAUUUACAAUUAAUUACCAAUACCUAUUACCUAUGUUAGACAUGACACACACAUGAAGUAGAAAUUUAAGCUUUAAACCUUCUCGAAGUGCCUAACUGCUAGGGUAGAGGUAAAAAGCUUCAGGCCUUGCAAUAGAGUAUAGACAUAAUAAAAAUAUGGUAGAGUGCUGUUUGUAAUUUGUAUGAACUUUAUAUAGGGAAGACAGACAUUUUCAUAUAUGCUAAGAUAGAAGUUUUCUACAUAACAAGAUAGAACUUUAUGCUAGUAAGAUAGAGUUUUGCGUUAAUAGAUAUGUUAUGUGCAUAGGUUUUGAUACUGUUUUUCGUAGUUUUUACGAACUUUAAAAUUGUACUUAGAUUGGCUAGUGUGUAGAUAAAAAAUAUGAAUAUGCAUUUUGCAAUUUGGGAUAAAAAGCCUCAGGGUUGGAGGUGGAGGUAUUGAUUGAUUGAUCAAUUCGAUCCAUCGAUCCAACCUCCAUUUUCUGCAACCUGAGGAACGAUCCUUGACAGGGAGCCGAAACGGGAUUUUAAGGUAUUAUACAUCGCGGUCCCCGUUCCAAGGGAUCUGGGUCCCGGGGUUCCCCCCUGCAGCACUUGCCGCCGGAGCGCUGGUCAGGACAGCCGGGGACUCUGCGUGGGGAGGGACCCCGGGGCCCCCACUGCCCUCGCGAUCCCCGCGGACGGGAACCCUGUGCGGCCUGGGGCCCCCACUGCCCUCGCUAUCCCCUGCGGACGGGAAUCCUGCGCAGCUCGGGGCCCCCACUGCCAACGCGAUCCCCGUGAUUUUGAAUAACGGCUAUGAUGUUUCUGGAAAAGAUUUGAAGGAUCUACUGAUUUAUGUGCAAAAAUACUUCCCAGAAACGGAAUCAUUAUUAGCAUUAAGUAAAUCUGGGAUGAAGUAGGGAUCAAAUUGUUUGAUGAAGUUACCAGAGGAGAUAAAAUUGCACCAGUGAUAUUACCAACUUGGAGACUGGUUGUAGAAGUUUUUAACAAAUCACAGAUGGAAAUUGGAAAUUCAGAACUUACUUUAUUUGGUACAGCCGUGUCGCAAACCGUUGAGGAAACCCGAGAUCAUGACUCGCUUUUGGGGGCGGUGGGGGGCACAGAUGAAUCUCUUUCUGCUCCUCAGAAACAAGGGAUGGUUCUCCCUGCUGCCGAAACCAUGCCGCAGCUCGGGGGCUGCGGGACAGUGGACGGUAUAGUACCAGCGCUGGCCCCCGGCUGCCGAGGCUCCAUCGCACACAACUGUGAGCUCGGGACCAGAGGCGCGGACUGCGGCAUGGCCGGACCCUCUGUGCCACCUCCAGCCGCGGUCCGGGGCUGCGGAGGGACUCCCCAUGCCACAGAUAAACCCGUGCCGGGAAGAUCCGAACUCUACGGGAGUCCCGCCGCAGCCCACCCCCACAAAGAUCGUGGAUCAUCCACAGACCGGGGUCCUGCCAUCUCUCCUGUCGCUGCUUCAGCCACACAUGACAGAAUUGUCUCUACGGCCAUGCGACAAUUUACUGCUUGCAAAGCAAACCAGCGAAUAUGUACAUCAGACACUGGACAGAUUAACGGCAGCCGUGGCCCCCUUCCUACCGGAGCCGCCGCUGCCGCUGGCUGAUGACAACGUACAAAACCACGCAUCUAACCUGCAACCACCCAUCAGACACCGACACCCAGGAGCACGACCUAAAGGGUGUCUGAGAGCGCAUGUGCCGCCAUUACGCAGCUUCCACGCGGCUUCCACUGCUCGCGAAAAAGAACCGGCACAGCGGAUCAACGUCAUGCCUGCGCCGAGCCACAUCGAUCUUCCCUCAGUGCCCGCGCCAAGCCACAUCAUUCUUCCUUCAGCACCUGCGCAGAUGCCUGCUCGCCCACACCACUUUAUGGACUGCUUCAUUACGCCUUCUGCGCAUGCCUUGAUCCCCCCCGACCUUACACAGGGCUUGGAAAAUACCAAUGCCUCACCGAGAGGGGGAACAGGGCGGGCAGGCAUCAAAGUGAAAUUACACAGGACACUAAUGCGAGACAUCACAGAACUAUAAUAUACCAAAGCAGAGCCAUCAAUAAUACAACCGCAAACAACGAAUCGGAUUCAUCAAUUUCAGAUUCAUCAGACUCAAGUCAAGAGGAAGACCCAUCCUCCUCAGAUGAGCAUUGCCCCCCACCUUUGCCUGAGUCGACUCGUCCCUCAAGAAGAACGCAGCGUGAGUCCCUGACAGACUGGGCUGCCAUGAGACGUAAGGCACUUAGAGAGGGAGAUCUUGAGAUGGCUAAGAAGCCACUUUUUAUUAUGCCAAUUAGAUAUGGCAGAGGGGGGGGUCAAUCCAUGGUGGGAACCACUUAGUCAUGAGGACAUUAAAGACUUAAGGAAAGCUAUUAAAGAAAGCGGAUUGGGUUCACCCUAUCUUAAACAAUUACUAAAAGGACCAUUCCAAAAUGUUGAUCUAACACCAUAUGACUGUCGUUAUAUUGCUAAUCUAAUACUAACAGAAUCACAGUAUAUGCUGUGGGAAUCCAAAUGGAGGAGGUUUUUGGUUCAGCUUCGAGAGAGCUAUGCUGGUGGUCCUCAUGCUGCAAUAACACUGGCAGAUAUGGCUGGAGAUCCACCACAUGAUAGGCAGGAGGAUCAAUUAGACAUAAAUAGAAAUGUACUAAGAGAUAUCAAAAAUGCUGCCCGUAAAGCCUUAGUAUUUACUCAGCCAGUUGGGGUCCCUGAGGGGACCUAUACAGGAAUAAAGCAAGGGGCAACUGAACCCUAUGCAGCAUUUAUUGAUCGUUUGACACAAGUUUUAGAGAGACAAUGUGAAGAUGAUGUGGCCCGACCAAUUCUCCUUCACAAUCUUGCUUAUGCAAAUGCGAAUGGGGAAUGCAAAAAGGUCAUUCGAAACUUGCCUGAUGCUGAACCCACUGUGCCUCAAAUGUUAGAGGCUUGUAGCAAAAUUGCAACUCCCCAACACAUUGCUACAAUCCAGGCAGAGGCUCUGGGAGAAAAACUUGAAAAGGCUCUCGCCGUUCAAGCAGAAAUGAGAGAUGAUAAGCUUGCUAAAGCCCUUGAAGGCCUUAGCUCAGCACUUCAGCAAAAUAAAACAUAUCAGGAGAAUAAGAACGAUAAGAGACUCUGCUUUCGAUGUGGGAAACCUGGACAUAUGUCAAAAUUCUGCUCUGAGGUAAAAACUCAAAACCCACCUUAUCAUUGCCCAAGAUGUAGAAAGGGAAGACACUUUGUUAACGAUUGUCGUUCUAAAUUUGACAUAGAGGGCAACCCUUUGACGGGAAACUUUGUGAAAAGCACGGGCCACCGCGUGAGGAAACAAAUAGCGGUAUACCAGCAACCCGAGAGCUUCCAAGGGGCCAGGUGUGUGAACUGCUCGGGCCAAACCCCAUUCGUCAGAUUGCCAGCCACCUGCCAAGGAACACCGAUUUACUGCCACCAGGGGCGCAAUGUGAACUGGCAACUUCCAAAUUAAUUCAUUUUCUAUAUGAUUGUUAUACUGUGGUACCCACAGGUGUGACAGGAACAUCACACAGGAGACAGGAUUUUCUAAUUGUAGGCCUUUUGGACACCGGCGCGGAUGUUUUGGUGAUUUCUUAUCUGUUUUGGCCAAAAGACUGGACUUUGGUAACACCCUUGGACCCUCUCGCAGAAGUAGCACUGCUGUUGCUGCUUGCCACGGAAGGACGAGCAGCGUUGGAAAGGCUUGUGCAGCGUCGGGCCUGCAGGGAAUGCUUGAGCCACAUGUGGAGGUCGCGGGAGAGAAGAUGCCAGAGCUGGUCGAGACUGAGUCCCACGGCUGAGGAAAGGGACCUUGGCCUGACACACUUGGAGCAUGGAAUGAAGUGUGCGGGGUGGAUCUAGAGGAAGACUUAAAAUUGCUGAACGACACAAAUCAUUUGCAUUAAUAAAUGCGAUUUCUUCUAAAAUCUG
This is an RNA transcript of Prinia subflava (tawny-flanked prinia), 7047 nucleotides long. It is a transcript of the gene named endogenous retrovirus group K member 6 Gag polyprotein-like, with no coding region annotated. The record is from RefSeq and is a predicted model, not a curated record. Lineage: Eukaryota; Metazoa; Chordata; Aves; Passeriformes; Cisticolidae. The transcript is spliced from 3 exons.